UGGGGAAUCUUGCGCAAUGGGCGAAAGCCUGACGCAGCGACGCCGCGUGCGGGAUGAAGGCCUUCGGGUUGUAAACCGCUUUCAGCAGGGACGAUCGUGACGGUACCUGCAGAAGAAGCCCCGGCCAACUACGUGCCAGCAGCCGCGGUAAUACGUAGGGGGCGAGCGUUGUCCGGAUUUAUUGGGCGUAAAGAGCUCGUAGGCGGUUUGGUAAGUCAGGUGUGAAAUCUCCACGCUCAGCGUGGAGGGGCCACCUGAUACUGCCAUGACUUGAGUACGGUAGAGGAGUGUGGAAUUCCCGGUGUAGCGGUGAAAUGCGCAGAUAUCGGGAGGAACACCCGUAGCGAAGGCGGCACUCUGGGCCGAUACUGACGCUGAGGAGCGAAAGCGUGGGGAGCAAACA
This 403-nucleotide ribosomal RNA is filed under the name uncultured bacterium. Its description in RNAcentral is "bacterial SSU rRNA". It matches the Rfam family "Bacterial small subunit ribosomal RNA", at positions 355 to 774 of the family's 1533-position model. The record is from RNAcentral.